ACAAGUACCGCGAGGUAA
This 18-nucleotide small nuclear RNA is filed under the name Arabidopsis thaliana (thale cress). RNAcentral describes it as "snRNA_15378". The record is from RNAcentral. Lineage: Eukaryota; Viridiplantae; Streptophyta; Magnoliopsida; Brassicales; Brassicaceae.